Molecule: ribosomal RNA, 711 nt
Filed under: uncultured bacterium
Lineage: Bacteria
Description: bacterial SSU rRNA
Rfam family: Bacterial small subunit ribosomal RNA
Source: RNAcentral
UGCGUAGAGAUGUGGAGGAAUACCGGUGGCGAAGGCGGCCUUCUGGACAAAUACUGACGCUGAGAUGCGAAAGCGUGGGGAGCAAACAGGAUUAGAUACCCUGGUAGUCCACGCUGUAAACGAUGUCGAUUUGGAGUUUGGUGGCAUGACUGCUGGGCUCCGAAGCUAACGCGUUAAAUCGACCGCCUGGGGAGUACGGCCGCAAGGUUAAAACUCAAAUGAAUUGACGGGGGCCCGCACAAGCGGUGGAGCAUGUGGUUUAAUUCGAUGCAACGCGAAGAACCUUACCUGGUCUUGACAUCCACAGAAUUUUGUAGAGAUACGAAAGUGCCUUAGGGAGCUGUGAGACAGGUGCUGCAUGGCUGUCGUCAGCUCGUGUUGUGGAAUGUUGGGUUAAGUCCCGCAACGAGCGCAACCCUUAUCCUUUGUUGCCAUCGGUUAGGCCGGGAACUCAAAGGAGACUGCNGUUGAUAAAGCGGAGGAAGGUGGGGACGACGUCAAGUCAUCAUGGCCCUUACGACCAGGGCUACACACGUGCUACAAUGGCGCAUACAAAGAGAAGCAAACCAGCGAUGGCAAGCGGACCUCAUAAAGUGCGUCUAAGUUCGGAUUGGAGUCUGCAACUCGACUCCAUGAAGUCGGAAUCGCUAGUAAUCGUGAAUCAGAAUGUCACGGUGAAUACGUUCCCGGGCCUUGUACACACCGCCCGUC